Molecule: ribosomal RNA, 1272 nt
Filed under: Argulus siamensis
Lineage: Eukaryota; Metazoa; Arthropoda; Ichthyostraca; Arguloida; Argulidae
Description: SSU rRNA
Rfam family: Eukaryotic small subunit ribosomal RNA
Source: RNAcentral
UAUUCUACUUGGAUAACUGUGGUAAUUCUAGAGCUAAUACAUGCUUGAUUUUCCGACCCUCUUCACGGAGGUGAGGAAUUGCUUUUAUUAGGCCAGAAUCAUUGACGGUGCCGUGGGGCUAACACCCUGCGUGCAUCGGUAUUCUUGGUGACUCUGAAUAACUUUGGGCUGAUCGCACGGUCUUCGCACCGGCGACGGGUCUUUCAAGUGUCUGACUUAUCAACUGUCGAUGGUAGGUUAUGCGCCUACCAUGGUUGUCACGGGUAACGGGGAAUCAGGGUUCGAUUCCGGAGAGGGAGCCUGAGAAACGGCUACCACAUCCAAGGAAGGCAGCAGGCGCGCAAAUUACCCACUCCCGGCACGGGGAGGUAGUGACGAAAAAUAACAAUACGGGACUCAUCCGAGGCCCCGUAAUUGGAAUGAGUACACUUUAAAUCCUUUAACGAGGAUCCAUUGGAGGGCAAGUCUGGUGCCAGCAGCCGCGGUAAUUCCAGCUCCAAUAGCGUAUAUUAAAGUUGCUGCGGUUGAAAAGCUCGUAGUUGGAUCCCAGUCGCAGGCGGGCGGUCCGCCUCAAACGGCGGUUCACUGCUCCGUCCUCGACAUACCUCUGGCUGGGUCUUUGACCGUCCCGCGAUGCUCUUCGCCGGGUGUCGUGGGGGGCCGGUAAAUAUACUUUGAAAAAAUUAAAGUGCUUAAAGCAGGCGUGUGGCCGGAAUAAUGGUGCAUGGAAUAUUGGAAUAGGACCUCGGUUCUAUCUUGUUGGUUCUUUCGGAACACGAGGUAAUGAUUAAUAGGGACAGACGGGGGCAUUCGUAUUGCGACGUUAGAGGUGAAAUUCUUGGAUCGUCGCAAGACGGACUACUGCGAAAGCAUUUGCCAAGAAUGUUUUCGUUAAUCAAGAACGAAAGUUAGAGGUUCGAAGGCGAUCAGAUACCGCCCUAGUUCUAACCAUAAACGAUGCCAACCAGCGAUCCGUCGGUGUUACUUCGAAUGACCCGACGAGCAGCUUCCGGGAAACCAAAGUAUUUGGGUUCCGGGGGAAGUAUGGUUGCAAAGCCGAAACUUAAAGGAAUUGACGGAGGGGCACCACCAGGAGUGGAGCCUGCGGCUUAAUUUGACUCAACACGGGAAACCUCACCAGGCCCGGACACUUGGAGGAUUGACAGAUUGAGAGCUCUUUCUUGAUUCAGUGGGUGGUGGUGCAUGGCCGUUCUUAGUUGGUGGAGCGAUUUGUCUGGUUAAUUCCGAUAACGAACGAGACCCUUUCCUGCA